AAUUUCAUAGUUAAAAUUCAUUUAUUCUUACUUCUCUAAAAUAUCUUAAAUAGUAAAAACCAAUUUCUUUUGUUAAAUUGUUUAAUUGUUAAACUCAAAGGUUUGAGACAACAAUAUAUUUAUGAAAUUAUUAGACUGUCAAACUAAAAAUAAGUUUUAUCCACUCCAAAAAUGAUAUUAAGAGUGAUAAAAUGAAAUUAUAACUAGUGUUUCUUGUUAGCAUAAUAAAAGAAAAUCUAACUGAAAAAAAAUACUAACAUGUAAGAAUUAUAAUAUCAUGAUUUUUGAUAAUUUGAAGAACUAAAUAUAAUAAUUGAUAUACCCAAUUAUUAUACUCAACUCAACUCAACUCA
Molecule: unclassified non-coding RNA, 353 nt
Filed under: Hevea brasiliensis (rubber tree)
Lineage: Eukaryota; Viridiplantae; Streptophyta; Magnoliopsida; Malpighiales; Euphorbiaceae
Source: RNAcentral